This 492-nucleotide ribosomal RNA is filed under the name uncultured bacterium. Its description in RNAcentral is "partial 16S ribosomal RNA". It matches the Rfam family "Bacterial small subunit ribosomal RNA", at positions 29 to 507 of the family's 1533-position model. The record is from RNAcentral.
AGUGAACGCUGGCGGUAGGCCUAACACAUGCAAGUCGAACGGCAGCACAGUAAGAGCUUGCUCUUACGGGUGGCGAGUGGCGGACGGGUGAGGAAUACAUCGGAAUCUACUUUUUCGUGGGGGAUAACGUAGGGAAACUUACGCUAAUACCGCAUACGACCUACGGGUGAAAGCAGGGGAUCUUCGGACCUUGCGCGAUUGAAUGAGCCGAUGUCGGAUUAGCUAGUUGGCGGGGUAAAGGCCCACCAAGGCGACGAUCCGUAGCUGGUCUGAGAGGAUGAUCAACCACACUGGAACUGAGACACGGUCCAGACUCCGACGGGAGGCAGCAGUGGGGAAUAUUGGACAAUGGGCGCAAGCCUGAUCCAGCCAUACCGCGUGGGUGAAGAAGGCCUUCGGGUUGUAAAGCCCUUUUGUUGGGAAAGAAAAGCAGCAGGUUAAUACCCCGCUGUUCUGACGGUACCCAAAGAAUAAGCACCGGCUAACUUCGUG